GGGGAAUAUUGGACAAUGGGGGCAACCCUGAUCCAGCAAUACCGCGUGUGUGAAGAAGGCCUGCGGGUUGUAAAGCACUUUCAGUGGGGAGGAAGAGCUUGAUGCUAAUAGUAUCGAGUUGAGACGUUACCCACAGAAGAAGCACCGGCUAACUCUGUGCCAGCAGCCGCGGUAAUACAGAGGGUGCAAGCGUUAAUCGGAAUCACUGGGCGUAAAGGGUGCGUAGGUGGUUGAAUAAGUCAGAUGUGAAAUCCCUGGGCUCAACCUAGGCAUUGCAUUUGGUACUGUUCAGCUAGAGUGCAGUAGAGGAAUGUGGAAUUUCCGGUGUAGCGGUGAAAUGCGUAGAUAUCGGAAGGAACAUCAGUGGCGAAGGCGACAUUCUGGACUGUAACUGACACUGAGGCACGAAAGCGUGGGGAGCAAAC
Molecule: ribosomal RNA, 425 nt
Filed under: uncultured bacterium
Lineage: Bacteria
Description: bacterial SSU rRNA
Rfam family: Bacterial small subunit ribosomal RNA
Source: RNAcentral